Molecule: transfer RNA, 101 nt
Filed under: Talaromyces rugulosus
Lineage: Eukaryota; Fungi; Ascomycota; Eurotiomycetes; Eurotiales; Trichocomaceae
Description: Penicillium rugulosum tRNA
Rfam family: tRNA
About the family: Transfer RNA (tRNA) molecules are approximately 80 nucleotides in length. Their secondary structure includes four short double-helical elements and three loops (D, anti-codon, and T loops).
Source: Rfam by way of RNAcentral
GUGGCUUUAUUUCAGUUGGGAGAAUGCCAGACUGAAGCCAAACUUCAAUCCAACACAUCGUGUUAAUCUGGAAGUCGGGUGUUCAAACCACUCAAGCCACA